AGCUAAUUGCUAUACAUCCUGUGGUUAAGUUAUCAUCUUUCUCAAUGACUGAAGAUCAUUAUUUUAUCUUUAGGCAGAAGAACAGAGAGAGUGCAGAUGUCUCAGGACUAAGACCAAGACAGGGACUCAAAACCAGUUCACAGAUCGUGAUGGAGAAGACAGAUCUUCGGAGAUAAAUCCACUGAGGGUCAACUAAACGGGCAGAAACCACAUUCUCCUCAGGAAGUUCCUUAAGCUGGAAGUAGUGGGAUGCUGGAUAGUACGUGGAUAAGUAGUAUAUAAUGCCCAUGUCUCCCUAAGCAUCUGCUAAUGAUCACUGGUGUCCUAUGGCCACUGUGUGGCCAUUCUUG
This 350-nucleotide long non-coding RNA is filed under the name Zonotrichia albicollis (white-throated sparrow). RNAcentral describes it as "lncRNA (ENSZALG00000001391.1)". The record is from RNAcentral. Lineage: Eukaryota; Metazoa; Chordata; Aves; Passeriformes; Passerellidae.